Non-coding RNA from Triticum aestivum (bread wheat), 130 nucleotides. Lineage: Eukaryota; Viridiplantae; Streptophyta; Magnoliopsida; Poales; Poaceae. The record is from Rfam.
UAAGUACUCCCUCUCCGGCUAGCGGGAAAUAUUUGUUCUAAUAAUGGAUAAAUUGGAUGUAUCUAUAACUAAAAUAAGUCUAGAUACAUCCAUUUCUAGGACAAGUAUUUCCGGACGGAGGGAGUAUUAA